ACCCCCUUGUGUGCGCCUCUCGGGGGGGGCCCUUGUCAGGGACUCAGGAUCACCCCGCACGGCUUUUUGAUCUCAGAAGAGCUGGGAGGCCGAAUCCCCUCUUGGGGCUCGCUCCUUUUCUCCAGGUUACAUUUGUUUGUGCCGCUCGAGGUUCUGCCGAGCACCCGGAAUCUCUACCAUUGAUCCUUCAUAGUGAGACACCCGACAUAUGGCGCCCCCACUACCCCUUCCCACUGACCCACCCACACCCCAGGGUUCACGAUUUUGGGUGCUCCUCCACUUUACCUUGCCACCUCCGAAUGCCCUUUUCUUCCCCCUCACUCUCAUCUCAAGGUUCAGGCCUCUGCACUGACCUGAGCUGGAACGACUUGGCUGGAACUCUGCACGUUUCAGUGAUGCCCCCUUCUCAGUAGUACCUUUAACUUACGACGUUGCCACCUGUGGGAUCCCUGCCCAGGCGUCUCUCGUGCAGCCCCUCUUUGCUCUCCGAAUCUCACCAAGUGGUAGUUUGCAGUACCCUGACUCUUCUUCCUUUCCUUCGGAUCCCCUUUUAUUCUGGUGUAACCUCUAACUCUCCUUUGCCCCAGCUGGUAGCAGAUCUGCCACUCCCCUCCCGUUCCCUGUGGAUAUCCGAUUGUCCUGGGUUGUUUGUGGCCUUUCCCAGUAAUGGUGGUUGGUCAUGUUUGAGGGCUGUCCCAUUCUAAACAGUAACAUUCCUUUUCUCCUCAGUGAACAUCGUUCCACCCUAGGCAUGCAGGACUGGGAGACGCUUACAUGUCUCCCGCCCAGUCCACCCUCAUAUGUCCCUUGAAGACAGUUGGCCUCUGGUAACCCAGGAAGAUCUGAUACUGCGUGCCUGCCAUGUGGAGCCCUCCAGCCUACGCCUGGACGAAGAGGGUGGCAGGUUCCCAAGGGAGAGGUGGGGAGAAGGGGCCUUUGAGGGGUCCUGUGGGGUGUGGAAAUUUCUUCCUGCUACCUUUUCCCUUUUAGGUUCUGCAGAUACAAUCUAGUUUUUAAUCCCUCCUUCCCUAGCUAA
Molecule: long non-coding RNA, 1036 nt
Organism: Phyllostomus discolor (pale spear-nosed bat)
Lineage: Eukaryota; Metazoa; Chordata; Mammalia; Chiroptera; Phyllostomidae
Exons: 2
Source: RefSeq, a predicted model, not a curated record